Long non-coding RNA from Helianthus annuus (common sunflower), 2833 nucleotides. RefSeq lists it as uncharacterized. The record is from RefSeq and is a predicted model, not a curated record. NCBI's taxonomy places the organism in Eukaryota, Viridiplantae, Streptophyta, Magnoliopsida, Asterales, Asteraceae. The transcript has 8 exons.
CUUCCUACGUUGUCUGUCAGACAUGUCAGGCACGCGCACGCAACCAUAGAUGAAGAUCCAUCCCUCAUCCCUAUUCUGCUCUGCUUCCUCGCUAUUCCAAACGACACCAUGGACACGCACACGCUUCUAUUAACGACUGAGCUUAAUGAUGGCCUCCCAAGUCAUGAUUUGGGGAAAAAUUAGGGGAGUCAUAAUGUUAAUUCCGAAAUUAAGGUAGGUUAACGGCUAUUACAUAUGGUAUAGGUUUAUAUACGUUUCUUUUACUCAAUCAAUGUUUGCCCUAAAAUUCGAAAUCUCUUAUUGAGGCUUUGUCUUUGUUAUUGCGUCUGAGAUUGUGACUUUGCUUGUGGAAUUGCAAUUGAUUAUUGAUACCGUGGUUGCAACUUAAGAUUGGGGCUAUGUUUGGAAGGCAGAAAACUUGUUCAGACUUUCAAAGAAGAGAAGAGAAUAGUUAAAAGUGGCUAUUGCAUAUGUAAUAUUUCAGAUUUCGAUUCCUAUUUUAUAUUUCCUAGAAACUAACAUUGCUAUUUGUUAUUAGUUAGGCUUUAUCUAAUUGAUAUUUGCUACAAAAUUGGGGAUCGUUGGGUUAGAAACUGUGAUAAUAGUUAGAAACUGUGAUAGUAGAUAUUUGCUAGAUUUCAAUUGCUAUUUGAUAUUUGUUAGAAACCGUGAUAGUAGUUAGGCUAUUUGCUAUGUCAAAUCGAAUCUAAACUUUUGAAUCCGGUUAUGCAAAAGACAAAAAAAACGAAAACAAGACUCUUUAAUUGAAUCACAAAAGGGAGCACUUCUAAAAUUUUGUUCCAAACAUAAUUCUACAAAAGAUAUACCUAUAACAAGUGAACGUCCAGACGAUAAUCUAUAAUACUAUAUAAUACAUCUCCCAUGGACAUAAUUGGUAAUUUCUAGCACAAUUUUAAGAUGGCAUGUGAAAAGUCACUUAAAAUCCCAAAUUUUUUUCCAUUUCCUUCCAUUCUUGCCCCUCUCCCCUCUAACACACCGGCCUCCCUCUUUACCGCAUGAAAACCCUAUCACAUGCCUUGAGUCUUCAAUUGCAAAUGAAACGUCUUGCCUUCUGGCGUUUCCAUCGCCCCCUCUACUCUAUAAUACUUACUACUGUGUUUUUGGUUUUCUCCACCGUCGUUUGCUUCUUCCACCUCCUUCUGACAUGGUUCAUCUACAAGGUAACCCUCUGUAAUGACGUCAUUUACUUUCGCUUUUUUUUUUCCGAUUCUCUUUGUUUUAGAUUGUUAGUGUUCGUGAGUUCCUACUUAGAGUUAAAUCAAAAAUAUCUGUGUGCAUUUUUGGGUUUUUUGGUCUCUAGAUUGACACCCUUCACUUCUUCUUUAUUUUUAUUUGCUCAGAUCCUUCUUGGACAACCGGCUAUCUCAGUUAGGGCCUCUAUAAAAGAACACGAGCAACGUUUUUUAGAAACAUAUAUUGUCGCUUCAACAAAAUGUCAUCGUCAUAAGUGAUGCUAAAAAGUUGGUGCAAAGAAAAAGAAGAGAAAGCUAUAAAGAAGGAAUUGAAUGAUUUACUUACAAUUGUUGUUGUUCAACCUAAGGUGCACGUUGCUGAUGUCAUUUGCAACGAUGUAAAGUUUGUUCAGGUAUACAAGCCCCUCUCUUGGGCAUGUGUAGUGGGGCAUUACGAUUAAGCCCCUCUCUUGGGCAUGAAGCGACAUGUGGCAUUAUGGGGGUGAAGUUCAAAAGUGGUGUAGUGGUUCCUUUUGAUCAUCAGGCGUAUUCAUAAACACGCCAUGGCCUCUUUGUUUUGAAUCAUGCCCAUGGGGGCGGUGUUUGCGGCGUGAAGUAGCAAGAUCACGCCACUUCACCUUUCCACUACACAUGGUCUAGCAUUUUUCUUGUUUUCUGUUGCAAAGGUCUGCAAGGUGGAUCCAAUUCCCGGAGAGACUAAAGUUUGGCAAUACAUUACCGCUUACAAAGAAGAUAUUCUUGAUGGAUUGCCCUGGUGUUGUUUAUGGCAGAAGUGAUACUGAAACUAUAUUGUUUUAAAGGGGGUGUGGAUGGAACUUUCUCAGUGAAGUCUGAUGUCUUCAAUUUUUGAGUCUUAAUCUUGGAUAUUGCAAGUGGAAGAAGAAAUACAAGCUUCUCUCAUCUUAACAAGACAAUCAAUCUUAUCGGAUAUGCAUGGGAGUGCAGCAUUAAUUUUCGAAUGCUUUUAGGCACGGGAGCUGUGGCAACAAGGGAAUGCAUUACAAUUGCAGGAUCCAACACCUGCUGAUACUUGUUGUACACCAGUUAUUGGGACUAUUCAGGUUGUACUACUUUGCGUACAAGAAAAUGCAAUUGACAGACCAGAAAUGUCAGACGUGAUCUAUGCUUCUUAAUGAUACUAUGUUGUUACCUCUCCCAAAGGGAUCGUCUUUUUUUUUUAGCAGAACUGUGUCUAAUUCAGCUUCAAUCGAAGGGAAGGUAGAUUGUGCCUUUGGAAACAACAUACCAUUACACAAAUGGAGGCUCGAUGGCACAUUAUCGAUAGCCCAUUUAAGAGUUGAUAUUAUUAUUGUUUGGAUGUCUUUAAGUUUUGUUAUGGGCACGGCUUGAGUAAUGAAGCGCACCAGUUCAUCUCAAUGCAUGACAACUCAAGUAAUGGAGGCCUCGAGUUCAUUUCUCGCCAUUAAGAGCACAAAGUUUGGUUGUUUACUUUUUUCCCUUGAUCAAUCAAAGUUCUCUUGAGAUAAGUGAAAGUUAAGUUUACUUUGCAGGUGUGUAGCAAUUUUUUUUGUUCAUCAUUUUUUAUCACUGAAGUUUUUGACUUCACGACUGAUGAAUAUGGUGGUAUUUCAAGAUUGCUACAACAUAUUUUAAUUGUU